GCCUGGGUGGCUCAGUCGGUUGAGCGUCUGACUUCAGCUCAGGUCACGAUCUCACGGUCCGUGAGUUCGAGCCUCGCGUUGGGCU
Molecule: transfer RNA, 85 nt
Filed under: Felis catus (domestic cat)
Lineage: Eukaryota; Metazoa; Chordata; Mammalia; Carnivora; Felidae
Rfam family: tRNA
About the family: Transfer RNA (tRNA) molecules are approximately 80 nucleotides in length. Their secondary structure includes four short double-helical elements and three loops (D, anti-codon, and T loops). Further hydrogen bonds mediate the characteristic L-shaped molecular structure. tRNAs have two regions of fundamental functional importance: the anti-codon, which is responsible for specific mRNA codon recognition, and the 3' end, to which the tRNAs corresponding amino acid is attached (by aminoacyl-tRNA synthetases). tRNAs cope with the degeneracy of the genetic code in two manners: having more than one tRNA (with a specific anti-codon) for a particular amino acid; and 'wobble' base-pairing, i.e. permitting non-standard base-pairing at the 3rd anti-codon position.
Source: Rfam by way of RNAcentral